GAUGCAGCACGCCGCGUGCGGGAAGACGGCCCUAGGGUUGUAAACCGCUUUCAGCAGGGAAGAAAAUGACGGUACCUGCAGAAGAAGGUGCGGCCAACUACGUGCCAGCACCCGCGGUGACACGUAGGCACCAAGCGUUAUCCGGAUUUAUUGGGCGUAAAGAGCUCGUAUGCGGUUUAUUAAGUCGGGUGUGAAAACUCUGGGCUCAACCCCGAGAGGCCACCCGAUACUGCUGUGACUUGAGUACGGUAGGGGAGCGGGGAAUUCCUGGUGUAACGGUAAAAUGCGCAAAUAUCCGGAAAAACACCGGUGGCAAAGGCGCCGCUCUGGGCCGUAACUGACGCUAAGGAGCAAAAGCGUGGGUAGCAAACAAGAUUAGAUACCCUGGUACUCCACGCCCCAAACGUUGGGCACUAGGUGUGGGUCUCAUCCAACGAGAUCGGCGCCGUCCCUAACGCAUUAUUUGCCCCGCCUGGGGAGUACGGUCGCAAAACAAAACCUCUGAGGAAUUGGCGGAGG
RNAcentral lists this ribosomal RNA (519 nucleotides) under uncultured Ilumatobacter sp. RNAcentral's name for it is "partial 16S ribosomal RNA". It matches the Rfam family "Bacterial small subunit ribosomal RNA", at positions 385 to 919 of the family's 1533-position model. Lineage: Bacteria; Bacillati; Actinomycetota; Acidimicrobiia; Acidimicrobiales; Ilumatobacteraceae. The record is from RNAcentral.